This is a long non-coding RNA of Stomoxys calcitrans (stable fly), 643 nucleotides long. RefSeq lists it as uncharacterized. Lineage: Eukaryota; Metazoa; Arthropoda; Insecta; Diptera; Muscidae. The record is from RefSeq and is a predicted model, not a curated record. The transcript has 3 exons.
GCAUGGGCUUGGGUACAAUUUGUCAGUAGUUCUGGUGACAAAGUCAAUAGUAAGUCAGUAUAGACUUACUAUCGACGUUUCCUACAGGCUGCCUCAGUAUAGAAUCACAACAAAUUAUGCGACAUAUAAACUUCAAUACAAAGAAAAAUUUAUUUUUAGCCUACCGUUCCUUCCAUUGUUCCAAGCAUGACGAAUGAAAGAUGUGACCGCAAUUGGUGCUGUCUACUUCCUCGGUUUCUCGCACAUCGUCUUCUACGAAUUUUAGUUUUUUUUAUUGCAAAAACAAGUAUCCAAUCAUUGGUAAAUGGUUAAGACACUUUUUUGUUUAUAUUUCGCGAUUAGACCCUUGAUAACACUGCUUGCAAGAUACCAUGGAAUAUAAGAAUUAUACAAUCAUCAAUGGGCAAUGUUCUGUGCCUUAGGGAAAGCACCGAAGAAAUAAAGAUAAAUGGAGAAACAGUGGUCAGAAUCGUAAUAAAAAAAACAAUUGCACAAACGUUAGGUGAUUGUGGUCUGUUUUAAAUUCUAGAAGUGUAAUUUUAUAACUUCCAUUUAAAAUAUUAUAAAAUAAAAACAAGCAAAAAGGCAUUAAGUUCGGCCGGGCCGAACUUUGGAUACCCACCACCUCGGGUACAUAUGUAAA